Molecule: ribosomal RNA, 627 nt
Filed under: Bacillus sp. AT-MI-05
Lineage: Bacteria; Bacillati; Bacillota; Bacilli; Caryophanales; Bacillaceae
Description: bacterial SSU rRNA
Rfam family: Bacterial small subunit ribosomal RNA
Source: RNAcentral
UCUUAUGAAGUUAGCGGCGGACGGGUGAGUAACACGUGGGUAACCUGCCCAUAAGACUGGGAUAACUCCGGGAAACCGGGGCUAAUACCGGAUAACAUUUUGCACCGCAUGGUGCGAAAUUGAAAGGCGGCUUCGGCUGUCACUUAUGGAUGGACCCGCGUCGCAUUAGCUAGUUGGUGAGGUAACGGCUCACCAAGGCAACGAUGCGUAGCCGACCUGAGAGGGUGAUCGGCCACACUGGGACUGAGACACGGCCCAGACUCCUACGGGAGGCAGCAGUAGGGAAUCUUCCGCAAUGGACGAAAGUCUGACGGAGCAACGCCGCGUGAGUGAUGAAGGCUUUCGGGUCGUAAAACUCUGUUGUUAGGGAAGAACAAGUGCUAGUUGAAUAAGCUGGCACCUUGACGGUACCUAACCAGAAAGCCACGGCUAACUACGUGCCAGCAGCCGCGGUAAUACGUAGGUGGCAAGCGUUAUCCGGAAUUAUUGGGCGUAAAGCGCGCGCAGGUGGUUUCUUAAGUCUGAUGUGAAAGCCCACGGCUCAACCGUGGAGGGUCAUUGGAAACUGGGAGACUUGAGUGCAGAAGAGGAAAGUGGAAUUCCAUGUGUAGCGGUGAAAUGCGUAGA